GAAAUUUAGAUAAAAAUUGAAGGAAACAAGUAUUUUGAAACUCUUAUGUUAAUAAAUCUUUAUUUCAUAAAAUUCUGAAACUUGAAAAACUGCUCUGAUUUUGUUAAAAUUUUUGAUAUAUUAUAGCACUUUGGAAACUGUAUCGACUUGCCUAAACAUGAAGAUCGAUAAAGCCAUAUUUACUAAUCAAUUUGGAGUUCCUCUUCCAUCUGACAAUCCUUAUGUUGCAUUACACGAUUUCGUGUAUGAUUUAGAAGUAGCCAUUCCAGAAGACGAAUUUGAAGCAUUUAAAGAACAAUUGGCAAAUCCUAGAAAUUCUUGCAUGUGAAGUUCGGGAAAGCAUAAGUAAAAAAGAUAGUAUAUUUCAAACUUACGAAAUGCUUCAAGAGCUUAAAGAUGGUCAAAGUAGCCUCAGAGAAGAUCUGAAUCAUCUUAGCCAUGGUCAAAAUGUUCUCAAAAAAAAUAUGGUUUAUUUGAAUGGAACAUUUGAGUGCAUUAGUAACGUUAUUAGAGCCAAUAACCAGAUACUGAUGCUAGAAUUUGGAAAGUCGAAUCGGAAGUAAACGAAUUGAAAGUCUCAGCUCAAAGAUCCGAAGAAAUUCUCAAUUAUAAGUCUGCCAAACAAAUGAAUUCAAAUUUAUCUACCAUAUACAGGGUUCUCCCUCUGAUAAAGAUAUUCCUGAUGAAUAUCAGAAAUUGCCUUAACUGAAAGCUAUAUCAAGGAUUGUUGUGGUUUGUCACAUUUUUGACGAGAAUUAUUUCAUAAGGUUUAUUUAAAAAGGAACUAGAAAGAUUUGGAUGAAUUUGUUAUGAAAAAUAAAGCUUAUGAUUGUUUGUGGAACAUCAAUAAGGCACUUCAAAAGCACCGAAUAACCUCAAAAUCUAGCUCUUAUCAAUCUUAAAGGCAAUUUUUUACUGUUUAAAUCAUCUUGAAUAUUUUCUUAUAUUUCCUUUCAACGAUUUAGCAUAGUUAAUUAUCAUCACUCAACCAAAUUUCUUUAGCAUUAUAAACAAGCCAUUGCGAAGUGUGUUUUGUCCUUGGAAUUUAAUGGAUUAACUGUUAGCAUUUAUUUUAUUU
This is a non-coding RNA of Schizosaccharomyces pombe (fission yeast), 1078 nucleotides long. The record is from the annotation of a GenBank genome assembly. NCBI's taxonomy places the organism in Eukaryota, Fungi, Ascomycota, Schizosaccharomycetes, Schizosaccharomycetales, Schizosaccharomycetaceae.